UACGUAGGGUCCAAGCGUUACUCGGAUUUACUGGGCGUAAAGCGUGCGCAGGCGGUUGUGUAAGCCAGAUGUGAAAUCCCCGGGCUUAACCUGGGAAUGGCAUUUGGGACUGCACGGCUAGAGUACGGCAGAGGAGACUAGAAUUCCUGGUGUAGCAGUGAAAUGCGUAGAUAUCAGGAGGAGUACCGAUGGCGAAGGCGGGAUCCUGGGCCAGUACUGACGCUGAGGAGCGAAAGCGUGGGGAGCAAACAGG
This 253-nucleotide ribosomal RNA is filed under the name uncultured bacterium. Its description in RNAcentral is "partial 16S ribosomal RNA". It matches the Rfam family "Bacterial small subunit ribosomal RNA", at positions 524 to 776 of the family's 1533-position model. The record is from RNAcentral.